Molecule: ribosomal RNA, 466 nt
Filed under: uncultured bacterium
Lineage: Bacteria
Description: partial 16S ribosomal RNA
Rfam family: Bacterial small subunit ribosomal RNA
Source: RNAcentral
GAUGAACGCUGGCGGCGUGCUUAACACAUGCAAGUCGAACGGAAAGGCUCCUGCUUGCAGGGGUACUCGAAUGGCGAACGGGUGAGUAACACGUGGGUGAUCUGCCCAGCACUUCGGGAUAAGCCUGGGAAACUGGGUCUAAUACCGGAUAGGACGAUGGUUUGGAUGCCAUUGUGGAAAGUUUUUUCGGUGUGGGAUGAGCUCGCGGCCUAUCAGCUUGUUGGUGGGGUAAUGGCCUACCAAGGCGUCGACGGGUAGCCGGCCUGAGAGGGUGUACGGCCACAUUGGGACUGAGAUACGGCCCAGACUCCUACGGGAGGCAGCAGUGGGGAAUAUUGCACAAUGGGCGCAAGCCUGAUGCAGCGACGCCGCGUGGGGGAUGACGGCCUUCGGGUUGUAAACUCCUUUCGCUAGGGACGAAGCGCAAGUGACGGUACCUGGAGAAGAAGCACCGGCUAACUACGUG